This 303-nucleotide ribosomal RNA is filed under the name uncultured bacterium. Its description in RNAcentral is "partial 16S ribosomal RNA". It matches the Rfam family "Bacterial small subunit ribosomal RNA", at positions 507 to 809 of the family's 1533-position model. The record is from RNAcentral.
AGCAGUCGCCACGGUAAUACGUAGGUGGCAAGCGUUGUCCGGAAUCAUUGGGCGUAAAGCGCGCGCAGGCGGAUAGGUCGGUCUGUCUUAAAAGUUCGGGGCUUAACCCCGUGAUGAGAUGGAAACUGCUGAUCUAGAGUAUCGGAGAGGAAAGUGGAAUUCCUAGUGUAGCGGUGAAAUGCGUAGAUAUUAGGAAGAACACCAGUGGCGAAGGCGACUUUCUGGACAAAAACUGACGCUGAGGCGCGAAAGCCAGGGGAGCGAACGGGAUUAGAUACCCCUGUAGUCCCUGUCUCUUAUACA